AAAAGGAACAACAGAAAAUAUUCAUGGGAAAAACAGAAAUGGAGAUGUUUAAAAACAGUAAAGUGAAACUAAUGAGCGAAACAACAGGUAAUGCUCAAUACUGGCAACUUUGUCUAUCUUUCUGUGUCUAUAAAUCAUCUCAUACUAGCUGGAGUUUGGCUGGUUUGCCUCGCGUUCAUCUCGUGUUUGAAGGAUAGCUGGAAGAGGUGCUGUAAUUUUG
RNAcentral lists this unclassified non-coding RNA (220 nucleotides) under Hevea brasiliensis (rubber tree). The record is from RNAcentral. Lineage: Eukaryota; Viridiplantae; Streptophyta; Magnoliopsida; Malpighiales; Euphorbiaceae.